UCAUUUUUUUCCAUUUUUCUUCUCCUUCCCAUGACCAACAAUGAAACCCCACUUCUCCAUCUUUUCUCUUUUACACCAAAUUUCUUCAAAUUUCCACAUUCAAUCAAUUACCCAUCUUCUCCCCAUACAUUUUCAAAGUAGAAUUUGAAGAAAGAAAGAAAUCAAAGAGAAAAUUCAAGGUUGGUGGAGAGUGAAUAGUAACCAAGGGUUCAGAAUUUAGAGAAGAAGUGGAAGGGAGGAGUGAAAACUCUAAAGGGAAAGGAAAUGAAGAAUAGAAAUUUUAAGGUUGUGGAUCCGAGUAGCUGUAGAUCAAGAUCUGCAUCAACCCAUCCAGAGUUACAUCAUUAUCUAUCUUAGGGAUGACUGAAGAACAGAGAGAAUUUUAAGUCGGAGAAGAGGUAGAAAGUCAUGUACCGACUGAGGCCAUUGGCCAUGUACCACCACAGGCUCCUCCUGGUGCUAGAAGGCCAGAGCAGGAGGUCUUGUUACAGCAAAUAGCAGAGAUUUUCAGGCAGGUGGCUGGAGUAGCUCAGCCAAUUAUAGUUCCACCACCGGCUCCUGCACCAGCACCAGCUAGACCACCUAUUGAUAAACUGAGAAAGUAUUGUGCUACAGAAUUUAAGGGACGAAAGGAAGAUGAUGCAUCCGCAGCAGAAUAUUGGUUGCAAAGUACAGACAGGGUGCUUCAACAGCUACAGUGUUCCCCAGAAGAUAGUCUAGUAUGUGCAGUGUCACUACUGAAAGAAGAAGCCUACCAAUGGUGGGACACUAUGGUACAGACAGUGCAACCAAUAA
This is a long non-coding RNA of Manihot esculenta (cassava), 795 nucleotides long. RefSeq lists it as uncharacterized. The transcript is spliced from 4 exons. The record is from RefSeq and is a predicted model, not a curated record. Lineage: Eukaryota; Viridiplantae; Streptophyta; Magnoliopsida; Malpighiales; Euphorbiaceae.